Biomphalaria glabrata is the source of this 3347-nucleotide long non-coding RNA. RefSeq lists it as uncharacterized. The record is from RefSeq and is a predicted model, not a curated record. The transcript is spliced from 4 exons. Lineage: Eukaryota; Metazoa; Mollusca; Gastropoda; Planorbidae.
UUUAAAGAAAUUAGCCUUUUGCCUAGCAUUUUUGAAUAAGAUUGAAAUUCUUUUUUUUUCGUUCUGAAAUUAUUGCUGACCAGACUCUCACAAUUAGCGAAAAAGACUGGACUUCUAAUCAACAAAAAGAAAACACAAGUUAUGAGGAUCAACAACAGACAAGAGAACCCAAUCAUGCUACAGGGAGAGAACAUCCUUGAUUCGGGCCACGUCACUUAUCUGGGAAGUAGAGUUGGUAAAGACGGCGGAGCUGAUGAUUAUAUACUAAUUCGGAUCAAUAAAGCUAGGUUUGCCUUUUCAACUCUUCAAACUAUCUGGCGCUCUAAGGCAUUAUCUCUACACAACAAGAUACGAAUCUAUAAUACAAACGUUAAGUCUGUCCUUCUAUACGGUUCAGAAACUUGGAGAGUCACUAAAACAAAUAUGGAAAAGCUCCAGACCUUUGUUAACAGAUGCCUGCGCCGGAUAUUAGGAAUUAGGUGGCCAGAAAAGAUAACUACUAUCGAUUUGUGGGAGAGAACUAGACAAAAGCCCAUAGCCCAAAACAUCACAAAACGAAAAUGGAGCUGGAUAGGACACACCCUGCGAAAACCAUCUACCAAUGUUGCAAGGCAAGCACUUGACUGGAACCCACAAGGAAAGAGGAAAGUGGGCAGACCCAAGCAAACUUGGAAGAAGUCAGUCAUCAGUGAAGCUGAGGGUACUGGAAUGACAUGGGAGCAGAUGAAGAAAGCUGUUCAGAACCGAGUUCGGUGAAGAGGUGUGGUUGCGGCCCUAUGCUCCCCUGGGAGUGCACAGGAUUAAGUAAGAUGUUGGCAAGUUUAUCUUCAUCUAUUUCACAGUCGUGAUUGCCUUUAGAUGUGGAAUAAUAAGCUUCUACAGUAUUUCCAAGAAUGAGAAUUUUGCAGCCUCUUAGAGACCACUGGGACAUUGUUCUGGGCUGCCUUUGGUAUCGGGAACUCUCAGGCACCAGCUAUUAAAGAAGAAACAAAUAGCUGUUAGGAUAAUGGUGACUCAGAGAUAACAGUGUGCUGCUGAAAGUCAUUGAGGUGGUUGGCUACAUUUUGUAUGGAUUAUCUUUCUUGAUGCUGUCGUGGUCUUGAUCAACAUGUUCAUUGCUAUGAUGAAUUUGAAGACAUUCAGAAUGUCCAAAAGAUUGGUCAGCUAAGAAUCCUAAAAUGUUGGCCUGUUUACAAAUAUAAGAUCUUCCUUGACUACACAAGUACCUUACAGAAGAAGGGUACUCACUUGUGUUUGGAUAUGCCUGCUAGAUCAAGGCUUUCUUAGACUGGAUAUUAAUAUAGCCUUAUAUUAUGUUAAUGAUAGUUAUCUAAGUAUGUCCUGUACAAGCAUCAAUGACUGUAAGAUAAUUAAAGAUAUUCAUGAUUAUAAGAGAAGUAGAAUGGAAUGAAAAAGUUGGCAGCUGUUUUGGUAAUAAAUCAAGUGUUGUUUUUCUAAUAUCUGUAAUAUUUGUAGAUUCUUAAGUUAGAAAAUGUUUGUUUUUUUUGCCAGUCAAUUCUGUUUAGGUUUUAUUCUUUCUUUUUUUGUAUAUAGUCCCUAUGGCCCUAAGUCAUGGUCAAGCACAACAGAUAUUAUUCUAAGCAACUUUAUUUUACUGGGAAAUAUUCAACCAUAUAAGCUGUGAGGGAGAUCUGAAAGCCAUUGCUUACUUGUCUAGAAGAGUGGUAAAAGAUUUAGAUUAAUUUUAUACACCACAUAACAUAUUUUUAUGCUCAAGACAAUACUGUUCAUGAAUGGUUUAGUUUUUUUUAUGCUGAGAGUGUCCAAGAAAGAUAAGGUUAAGGUCAAUGGUUAAUUAGAGUUGUUGUUUUUUUUAAUGCUGUGAUGCUGUUAAAUUUUCCUUGUGUUUUUGUAAGAGUUUAAAGACAUUACCCAUUUUAUUUGUUUUACAAAUGUAGGACAAACAAGUUAAUAAGUAAGUCUUACAUUGUUGUUGUUUUUUAUUUACCAGGUAUUCAUUUACUUUGACUGUUGACUUUAAGUUAGAAAUUAAACAAAGAUUUCUUUAAGCUAUAUUUGUCCAUGACCAUAGGCAUUAAAGAAAGUUGACACAGCUAAUUGUACUUUUUAACAAGAUAUGUCAAGAAAUUAAGAGGUUUUGAUGGAAUUCUGUGGUUGAAUAAUCACAUGUAAAAUGAAUCACAGGAUUCCAUCAAAAAUGUAAAAUGUUAAAGAAAUUUUAAAAGAAUAAAAUAUAAUCCAUGAGAACGGAUACCAGUACAGGUGUUGAGACCUAAGAAGCAAUGAUAACUGGAUAUGUUUUUAUUUGAAACCACUGGCAUGUAUUUUACUUGUUACUAAUAACUUAAUUUACUUUUUAAUAUUUGCAUUAUCAACUGUAGUUUUCUUUUUAAGAGUUCUUUAUGAAAAUGUUACCACUGAAUACUUCUGUAUUACUAGACUUUAUUCAACUAUGCUUUGUAAAUGAAAUGGCAUAUUCUUUGAAUUACAUAAUUAAGUUCUUUAUAGAUAUAUGAUAAUAACAUCUUAAAUUUAAUGUAGUUUCUGCACUGAAUAAUUUUUUAAAAUGUUUUAAAAAUUUUGGAUUAUUUAUAUUAAGUUUGUUUUGUUUGUAUAUAUAUAGAAUACAUUUAUCAUAUUAAAAGAAUGUAUUUUCUUUUAUUGUAGUUUUUAUAGUCAUUUUUAGAGUUGAGUGUAGAUUCAUUUACAUUUAACCUUGUUGGUAGUGUCAAUGUUAUUAAGUUUACAUCAAAGUAUUUAAGAAUAGUCCUGGGUGUUACCCACAUUGUUCAUGUUGUAAAGAUCCGGCAGAGUUUUAUGCCACGUGAACCAGUAGAUCAGUAUGUCGAUUAGCUUUUAAAAUAUAGUUUUGACGGAAUGAACAUCUGUUGUAAGAGGUUUAGGGUACACAACUCUAGCAAUAUCGUUAAAAAUAAAAUAUUCUGAUCAAGUUUAUAUUUUUGGGACAGAAUAUGCUAAUGUGUUAAAUGUACAUCUUUUUUAAUUUUAAGAAUAACAACUGAUAUUAUGUUUAAUUCCUCUGUAUAUUUCUACAUUAGAGGCAUUGUUAUAUUAAUUUGUUAAAUUUCUAUGAAGUGUAACUUCUAAUCGAAUUGUCUCCAUUUUAAAAUCAAAUGUCUGAAUGAAACAAGUUUUUGUGAUUCUAUCUAAAAGUACUAUCAGGACUACCAAUGCACCUUUGUUUGGAACUAAACAUUUAUUUAUGCAGCAGAGUUUCAGUUUUAUUGUGACAUUCCAAAACGUUGUUAACUUUCAAUAAGCAGUGCCUCUUAUACAUUGAAUUGUGAUUAACUCAUUUUGAUAUUUAUGUAUACAUUGUAAUAAAAGUGGCAUUCAUUUUACAA